GGGCCGAUAGCUCAAUCGGUUAGAGCAGCGGACUCAUAAUCCGUCGGUUCCUGGUUCAAGUCCAGGUCGGCCCACCA
Molecule: transfer RNA, 77 nt
Filed under: Planctomycetota bacterium
Lineage: Bacteria; Pseudomonadati; Planctomycetota
Description: Planctomycetes bacterium tRNA-Met
Rfam family: tRNA
About the family: Transfer RNA (tRNA) molecules are approximately 80 nucleotides in length.
Source: RNAcentral